Molecule: ribosomal RNA, 253 nt
Filed under: uncultured bacterium
Lineage: Bacteria
Description: partial 16S ribosomal RNA
Rfam family: Bacterial small subunit ribosomal RNA
Source: RNAcentral
GACGAACCGUGCGAACGUUGUUCGGAAUCACUGGGCUUAAAGGGCGCGUAGGCGGUCUCCCAAGUCCGGGGUGAAAUCUUUCGGCCUAACCGGAAAAGGGCCUUGGAUACUGGGGGACUCGAGGGGGGUAGGGGCAAGCGGAACUUCCGGUGGAGCGGUGAAAUGCGUUGAUAUCGGAAGGAACGCCGGCGGCGAAAGCGGCUUGCUGGACCCCAUCUGACGCUGAGACGCGAAAGCCAGGGGAGCGAACGGG